RNAcentral lists this ribosomal RNA (687 nucleotides) under uncultured bacterium. Its description in RNAcentral is "bacterial SSU rRNA". It matches the Rfam family "Bacterial small subunit ribosomal RNA", at positions 813 to 1500 of the family's 1533-position model. The record is from RNAcentral.
CGACUUGGAGGUUGUUCCCUUGAGGAGUGGCUUCCCGAGCUAACGCGUUAAGUCGACCGCCUGGGGAGUACGGCCGCAAGGUUAAAACUCAAAUGAAUUGACGGGGGCCCGCACAAGCGGUGGAGCAUGUGGUUUAAUUCGAUGCAACGCGAAGAACCUUACCUACUCUUGACAUCCAGAGAACUUAGCAGAGAUGCUUUGGUGCCUUCGGGAACUCUGAGACAGGUGCUGCAUGGCUGUCGUCAGCUCGUGUUGUGAAAUGUUGGGUUAAGUCCCGCAACGAGCGCAACCCUUAUCCUUUGUUGCCAGCGAUUCGGUCGGGAACUCAAAGGAGACUGCCGGUGAUAAACCGGAGGAAGGUGGGGAUGACGUCAAGUCAUCAUGGCCCUUACGAGUAGGGCUACACACGUGCUACAAUGGCGCAUACAAAGAGAAGCGACCUCGCGAGAGCAAGCGGACCUCACAAAGUGCGUCGUAGUCCGGAUCGGAGUCUGCAACUCGACUCCGUGAAGUCGGAAUCGCUAGUAAUCGUGGAUCAGAAUGCCACGGUGAAUACGUUCCCGGGCCUUGUACACACCGCCCGUCACACCAUGGGAGUGGGUUGCAAAAGAAGUAGGUAGCUUAACCUUCGGGAGGGCGCUUACCACUUUGUGAUUCAUGACUGGGGUGAAGUCGUAACAAGGUAUC